UUCAUUGCAUGGGAACACUCUCCAUCUACUAGACAUGCAUGAAUUAGGUGGGUUGUGCAUUUGUAUAAUUAUAGCUAUUAGGUUCAUAAUUAACAGUGUUGUCGAAAAUUACCCGCUAUACGAUUAUGCUGUGGAUCGGAUCCACAGCAUAAUCGUAUAGCGGGUCAUUUUUGUGGAGUAAAAUAUUCGUUAUUUUUUCUUGGGCUGGCCAUGGGUUAUAUACAGUGCAUCGAGUAGAUGUGAGUAUAGUUGUACUUAAAUGUAUCUCACAGAUUGAUUCAUUCUCAACAUUGGAAAAUUUUAUAUCCAUGGUACAAACACAGUACUAGUACUAGCGAUAGUACUGUGUUUGUACCAUGGAUAUAUAUGUAGCCUCAACACAACAAGAUAGUAGUUUUAAAUUUGGCAGAUUUUGUUUCAUUGUCGAAUAAAACCGAGCAAAAAUCUAAUCUGUGUACAUGCAUGGAUGAGUUCAACAUGCAGACUGAAUGUCACGAUUGGAUUGCUGUAACAGUUGUAUGAAAUGGCCAAUGUCUAUAUAGGUUAUAGAUUUAAUAUAGGUGUAUAUAGUGGUGCUGUCUUGUUUGUGGCUACUACCACAUUCAGAGCUCAGAAGUCACAACUCUCAGCAAGCAUCUUUACCCAUUCUACUCCCACAACAACAAAAAGGGUCAUUGGAUAUACAGUCUAUUUGAUCAUACUGACCACAUGCAGCUAGCUGUGAGGCUGCCAAUUUGUGAUGUAAAAACACAGGUAUACAUCAAGGUAAUAUAUUAUGGUCCGGAUCAGAGCUUAUCGUUUGCUACUUGUUUAACGUUAUUGUAGUACAGGUAAGUAUAUCAUAUAGGUAAGGUAAGGUAGCUAUGGCUUCAGCAGAUGUGUCCUUUCAGGAGGGUCUUAUUGGUGUGCAGUUGGUUGUGAGUUCUUGUGAGUUCUCUUAUAGUGAUGGCCUCAGUUCAUUACAAUUGACCUGGAAAGUGUCUAGUUUCAGAGGCAAUUUCUGUGCUUCUUGCAAUUGAUUAUCCCUAUAUACGUACUAUAAUUAUGAGGUGUCAUUGAAAGGCAGUCCACAAUGUUAGGGUUAUAGGGUUAGCAUUUAGGUUUUGUUACUGUGGUGGUACAUGUGUAUACUAGUGGGAGGGUCACUAGUUGAUGCUGGAUCCCUGGCCCUUACUGCCAUGUAGCUCACCUUUUGGGGGGAGGGGGGUGUACUCAUUGCAUGCUUUCCUAGACUUCACCUUUCUCAGAAGUGGUGGGAAUUAGAUUCAUGUGGUGGCUCAAUAGCUAGCAUGGCUGGUGGCUGUUAGACUGGGGCCAUGCACUUGUCUGUGGUAGCAAGAUGUGGCAGAGUAAGCACAUUUGCUGUGUUUGUGGUAACCUUAUCUACUUUACAUCUACUCUGUACACACACACACCAGAAGGUUAUACCCAUGUACUACUAUUUUAGCUGAACUUGUUGACAAUUAAUGAUUACUUCUAGCUGGUUUUUAAUAGUCAUUGGAGACUAGGAGGCAAACUUUCUGUGACUCUCUAGCUACUUAUACUAGUAGUAUAGCUUUCAUUAACCAACCUGCGCAUGAUCCCCAGCAAUCUCCUCCAUUCUGUUUUCAGUGCAUAUACUUUUUACUAGAUUCCUAUGCAAGCUAGAUACAUUACCGCUAACCCUUGCUAAUCCACACAGCUAACCAGAUAUUAUAAGCUCAGUAAAGCCAGAGGUAAGUUGUAUGGUAACCUGAGCAAAUAACCCUAUAGUCCAACCUCAUUUGCACACACACCAUGUGCUGUAUACUUUUUCUGAUUUUGAGGCCAUAAGAAUCACUAAAAGUUCAGCCCUGGCAUUAAGGUUGCUGGAAAACACUAUAGUGAUUCCUACUGCAUGUGACCUCUUCUGCACAUGAUUAUAACACCCAGUUCUACACACAUGUGCAGAGAAGGUCAAACAUGUGGUAUAUAUGAAUCACUGCAAAUUCAAUUUACUGUGUCUGCACGUUAUGAAAUGUUACAAAUAUACACUAAUCUCAAAUAUACACUGAACUAUACCCAGAGGAGGUUCGGACACUGAACUAAUAUAUACUGAACUACAUCCAGAGGAGGUUCGGACACUGAACUAAUAUACACUGAACUACACCCAGAGGAGGUUCGGACACCGCUACGAAUCACUACAACAAAUCACUACAAGUUCGAUGUACUGUGUCUGCAUGUUAUAAAUGACAUUGAUCUACAUCAAAAUGAAGGAAGUCUCUUGCUCUAUGCUGAUGAUCUUCUUUACCAUCCUAUUCAAUCUCCUGAAGAUUAUCUAAAAUUGCAAGGAGAUAUUAACCAACUCCAAGCAUGGUCUGAAACAAAUGUACUCUUUUUUAACCAAUUAAAGCAAGUGUAAAUACAUGACUAUAUCAAGAAAAUUCAACCCACCACUUCCCAACAUGUGUCUCAAUAUCAGUGGACGUCCCCUACUUAAAGUUGACCACUACAAGUACCUUGGCGUGUGGAUCUCUCAUGACCUCUUGGCGUGUGGAUCUCUCAUGACCUCUCAUGGUCAAAACACAUAUAGAAGGAAUGUGCAGAAAUGCCUGCAAGUAGGUUGGUAUAAUUUACCGACAGUUCUAUGGCCACUUGUCACUAGAAUGUUUAAGACAACUCUACAUCUCACUUGUGAGAUCAAAAAACUGGAAUAUGCUGCCCCUGUUUGGGAUCCACACCAAAAAACAAAUUCUCACAAAAUAGAAGAAGUACAAAAGUUUGCCCUUAAAAUGUGCACAAAACUUUGGAAUAGGGACUAUGACUCCCUAUUAAGAAAAAAAAUUACCUGACCAGAAAUGAACACUGAACUUGUAGUGAUUCGUACAUGUCCAAAGUAACCCUACACCCUACACAAUACACAUCCAUGCACACUAUACACGUACACUACACCCUGCCCCAGUUAUAUAGUCCGAGAGCCUUUGUGCUGAUGUAUUGCUUAGAAACUGGUGUUCAGCUCUUACCCAUUUACCGUAUAGCGGGUAAUUUUCGGGGGAGAAAAUAUUCGUGGUUCAGCAAUAUUGAGACAUUUCGUGGGUAAUAUUUUCGUGGUUGGAGCUUGCACUGCAGGUAAAGGUAGGCAAGGUCGCUUCAUUCGUGGGUAAAAUAUUCGUGGUCAGACCUCCAACCACGAAAACCACGAAUAUUUUGCCCCACGAAAAUUACACGCUAUUACCAUACUUAACCCACCUUGACCACAUCCUGCUGAUAAAGUCAUGUGUGGUAAAACAAAAUUAUGGCAACCACCAGGUCCCCAUGUGUAUAUGUAGUACCAAUUAACCUGUUGUAAAGAUUGCUAAAUAGAUCUUUUGCCCUAUAAUCAUUGCUGGCCCACUCAGUAUAGUUCUUAGCUCUGAGUGCCAGUUGCGUACCCAUACAGUGCACAUUUUAUUAACCGAGUCGCGUAGACGGUCGCCGAUGAUAGUAGUUCGCUGAGGUGUCUGUCUUGAGUCUUCUCACCUGGAUGCCGAAGGGUUGUGUUUGCAGCAUCAAUAUAUAGCCAAGUAAUUUCUUGUUGAAUAGAAGCGAGCAAAGGCUAAGAAGCUUGAACUUGCACGUUACCUACAGAAGUGCUAGCUUUUAUAGGCUAGCCACAUACAGGUUUGAUUAGAGGCAUUUUAUGGCCUACCACAACGCCUUAUCACAGUGAGUUUCACAUCAGUAAACUGCAAUCUUAAUUUGAUUGGCUUUGUAUAGCAAUGUAUACUGCUGAUUUUAUGCCGCUCCUUCUAUUUUUGAUAAAAUAAUGACACUUCUGGUCAAGGUUUUAGUACUUCAUGCAGUGCUCUAGUUAAGGUUGCCGUUCUUGGUGACCUUUCCUCCAUUGUUUUAUUGUUUUGACUAGCUCCUAAUCAUGUGUGCACAUGCAAUAUAUACUUAUGCGGUAUAUCAUGAGUUUAGCAUUACCAUAUACACACGCUUGCGUACGCACACCAAACACACACAUUCAAUAGAAUAACUCCUAAAGGUGAGUCUAAAAUAUGGACUUAUGCAUGCCUUAAUUGAUAACACUCUUUGAAGUUCUUCUCUUAAAAGUCCCAGCAGAAGUGUUGUCCACUUUAACGUAUCUUUAUCACGCAUGCAGGGUUGGCUACCUCGAAAUUUUUGGUCUGGCCAAUUAAGGCAACUCCAUGCUGGAGUUGCUGUUCUUCCCUUUGCUACAUGUGUAUUUAUAGCCUCGUUGUCUCCAAAAUAACGCUAGGUCGCCAGUUUUCGUUCCCAGCUAUAAUUAUAGGUCGCCAACUGACAAUUUAUAGCGUAAUUUUGGAGACAACUCGGCCUGGGAACGAGGCUAUACAUGUAUUUGCUACAAUACAUAUAGGUGUAGUUAGUACAUGUACAUGCUUCUUGUGGGUGGUUUGUUAUGACUCCUGUAAUCAGAUAAACCUGCAUGUGCUCUUACAUUGAAUGCUCUUACAUGUGUAUAAGCAUCUUGUUAAGAUCCUUAUAAGGGUCUUAACAAGAUGCUCAUAGAGCAUUUGCCCCGUGCGUUGAGCACAGCAGCAAACAGGUUAUAACUUUUCACCGUAACAAUCUUAAUGUUAGGAUUGAAUGACCGUGAAUCUAGAAAGCAUCGAUUAGAAAAAACAGUGUAUUUUGUCGCCUUCGAAGAUUGCCUACAAGUUUCUACUAUUUCUUCAACCACUGUCUCAGUUAAAGCAGUUCAUGAAAGUAUCUAGUUCACUCAAACAGCUCAUUUUUAUAUCCACACACAUUCACAAACCGACACACACACACUAAUCACUUGGUGCGCACGCACGGGGUAAUUAUGACUUGUUCACGCAGCAUUCUGUGCACAUGCACACAAUACCUACAUCCAUAGGAUUAUACUGCACUCACACACAUUAAGGAUGUUUUUCCUCUGUAGGCUAUAUAAUAAUAAUUAUGGCCAAACUGAUAUGCCCACAUUAGAAUUACCGAAGCCUUCCAGUACCAUGAUAAUUUUGCAUGUAUAUAGCCAUGGCCCAGUGCAUGUUGGUCGUAUAAAAACGUGUCAUUAAUUGCUGUAUUAUAUUUUUUACUACAUCCAGGUUAUUGACCCCUCCCUCUGUCGGCCUCGAUGAAAAAAACAAACUGCAAUUACUGGAAACUUAUUCAUGCAAUAAUUAUGGCUGUUUUUUGCUACAAUUAUUUAUUACAAUCAUGCAUAUUUUAUCAUCAUUAAUUUAACCACAGAAUAUAAUAAUAUAUUUUAUUAA
Halichondria panicea is the source of this 5216-nucleotide long non-coding RNA. RefSeq lists it as uncharacterized. The record is from RefSeq and is a predicted model, not a curated record. The transcript is spliced from 2 exons. Lineage: Eukaryota; Metazoa; Porifera; Demospongiae; Suberitida; Halichondriidae.